RNAcentral lists this transfer RNA (75 nucleotides) under Methanobacteriota archaeon. RNAcentral's name for it is "Euryarchaeota archaeon tRNA-Met". It matches the Rfam family "tRNA". Rfam says of the family: Transfer RNA (tRNA) molecules are approximately 80 nucleotides in length. Lineage: Archaea; Methanobacteriati; Methanobacteriota. The record is from RNAcentral. RNAcentral also lists the same sequence under 2 other names.
GGACCCGUAGCUUAGUCUGGUUAGAGCGCCGCGCUCAUAACGCGGUGGUCGCAGGUUCAAAUCCUGCUGGGUCCA